This 492-nucleotide ribosomal RNA is filed under the name uncultured bacterium. RNAcentral's name for it is "partial 16S ribosomal RNA". It matches the Rfam family "Bacterial small subunit ribosomal RNA", at positions 30 to 507 of the family's 1533-position model. The record is from RNAcentral.
AUUGAACGCUGGCGGCAUGCUUUACACAUGCAAGUCGAACGGUAACAGGCCUUCGGGUGCUGCCGAGUUGCGAACGGGUGAGUAAUGCAUCGGAACGUGCCCAGCGGUGGGGGGUAACGCAGCGACAGCUGUGCUAAUACCCCAUUUGAUCUGAGGAUGAAAGCGGGGGACCAGGCGGCCUUGUUUGCCCUCGCGCUUUUGUGUCCGCAGAUGUCAGAUUAGGUAGUUGGUGGGGUAAAGGCCUACCAAGCCGACGAUCUGUAGCUGGUCUGAGAGGACGACCAGCCACACUGGGACUGAGACACGGCCCAGACUCCUACGGGAGGCAGCAGUGGGGAAUAUUGGACAAUGGGCGCAAGCCUGAUCCAGCAAUGCCGCGUGCAUGAAGAAGGCCUUCGGGUUGUAAAGCACUUUUGUACGGGACGAAAAGGGUAUGGCUAAUACCUGGGGAUGAUGACGGUACCGGAAGAAGAAGCACCGGCUAACUACGUG